UGAUGGCCAUAAAACCCAUUGGAUCGCCAAGC
Molecule: non-coding RNA, 32 nt
Filed under: Mus musculus (house mouse)
Lineage: Eukaryota; Metazoa; Chordata; Mammalia; Rodentia; Muridae
Source: RNAcentral